AUGCAGUCGUACCAUCGCUGGUAUUGAUUGGUGCUUGCAUCACGAUUUACAUUUCAGUGAGUGGCGAACUGGUGAGUAACACGUGGGAAACCUGCCGCGGAGCGGGGGAUAACACGUGGUAACGGAUGCUUAUACUGCGUAACAACUUGUACUGCCUGGCUUGAGUUUGAAAGACGGCUUCGGCUAUCACUUUUGGAUGGUCCCGCGGCGUAUUAGCUAGAUGGUGGGGUAACGGCUCACCAUGGCAAUGAUCCGUAGGCAACCUGAGAGGGUAAUC
Molecule: ribosomal RNA, 277 nt
Filed under: Lactiplantibacillus plantarum
Lineage: Bacteria; Bacillati; Bacillota; Bacilli; Lactobacillales; Lactobacillaceae
Description: partial 16S ribosomal RNA
Rfam family: Bacterial small subunit ribosomal RNA
Source: RNAcentral